GCUCCGUUAGCUCAGCAGGUCAGAGCGCCCGUCUGUCACGCGGGAGGUCGCCGGUUCGAACCCGGUGCGGGGCG
This 74-nucleotide transfer RNA is filed under the name Cryptosporangium aurantiacum. It matches the Rfam family "tRNA". From Rfam's summary of the family: Transfer RNA (tRNA) molecules are approximately 80 nucleotides in length. Their secondary structure includes four short double-helical elements and three loops (D, anti-codon, and T loops). Lineage: Bacteria; Bacillati; Actinomycetota; Actinomycetes; Cryptosporangiales; Cryptosporangiaceae. The record is from Rfam by way of RNAcentral.